Molecule: ribosomal RNA, 690 nt
Filed under: uncultured bacterium
Lineage: Bacteria
Description: bacterial SSU rRNA
Rfam family: Bacterial small subunit ribosomal RNA
Source: RNAcentral
GCGAAGCUUUUCAGUAGUUUACUACAGAAAAUGACUGAGCGGCGAACGGGUGAGUAACGCGUGAGCAAUCUACCUUAGUUACAGGGAUAGCCCGAGGAAACUCGGAUUAAUACCUGAUAUUCUUUAAAUUUCGCAUGAAAUUAAAAGGAAAGGUCAGCCGAACUAAAAUGAGCUCGCGUUCUAUCAGCUAGUUGGUGAGGUAAAAGCUCACCAAGGCUACGACGGAUAGCUGGUCUGAGAGGACGAUCAGCCACACUGGGACUGAGACACGGCCCAGACUCCUACGGGAGGCUGCAGCAGGGAAUAUUGCGCAAUGAGCGAAAGCUUGACGCAGCGACACCGCGUGUGGGAUGACGGAUCUAGGUUUGUAAACCACUUUCAGGAGGGAAGAAAGUGACGGUACCUCCACAAGAAGCCCCGGCCAACUACGUGCCAGCAGCCGCGGUAAUACGUAGGGGGCGAGCGUUGUCCGGAUUUAUUGGGCGUAAAGAGCUCGUAGGCGGUUCAACAAGUCGGUCGUGAAAGUUCAGGGCUCAACCCUGAAAUGUCGAUCGAUACUGUUGUGACUAGGAUACGGUAGAGGUGAGUGGAAUUCCGAGUGUAGCGGUGAAAUGCGUAGAUAUUCGGAGGAACACCAAUUGCGAAGGCAGCUCACUGGGCCGCUAUCGACGCUGAGGAGCGAAAGCUAGG